AAACACACUGAUUCUGAGACAUCUAGGGAACCACAGAACAAGUUCUGGGCUGGAGAUGUAGAUUUCAUUUGAGAGCUGCCAGUAGUAGAGACGGUAAUUGAAGCCAUGGGAAUGGAGGUGAUUGUCCAGGGAGUGUAGGUAAAGUGAGAAUAGAUAAGUGCCAAAGGGCACAGUCUGGGUAUGUCAACAUUUAAGUGACAAUUUCAGAAAGAGAAGCCAAGGAAGAAACCAGAGAAAAGCAGUUGGAGAAGCAAGAAGGCAACCAGAAGUGGCCUUGGUACAGCUGUGAUGGGGAGACAAUGACGAAACAGCAGGAACUGGCACUGAGAGUUAUUGGUGUAGCUUGGGCUCUCCCCUCAUCAUCCUCUCCAGCUGGGAGUCAUGUGACAGAAGCAAGAAGCCUGUCACAGCGCACAUGUAAAAGAGCAAACUCCAGACACACACGUCUUAUCUGUGCUGACGGCCCACCUUGGUGACUGGAAAUGACACCAUCCAAUUUUUUCUGGCCGCAAUGUUGCACCCCUGAUUUUUUCCUUCAUAUGACAGACUUCACAGCAAAUACUCCUACUGAGUCCAAACAACCGCUACGAUUGAGAACAAGCAUGAAUCCGCCACCCACCUUCUCCUGGAAAUAAGGUUAUUGGGUUGCUGAACUCCCAUGAACCAAAAAGAAAACACUGAAUGGUAUCCAAACCAGCCUGGAAAGGACAGCGAGAAAAGCCAGAACCAAGGCUGACCAGCCUGAAUGCUGGUAAAUGUUAUCAAGAAUCUGGAGCAGGAGCCUCAGUCUCCUAUCAAAAGGAGAAGAACCUGAAGAAAACACUUCUCUUCCUUCUCUCUGCCUAGGGGCAGUGACCUUGGAUUCAACCACCAUCAUCCCUUCCAGACACCAGAGGGGGGAGUCCCACAAGGCAGAAGGUGCCCCUGUGACCCAUCCACUUCUCUUCCAUGUUCUUUACCUCCUUGCUCAGGAAGCCAUAAAGUUGAGCUGAGUGGAAGGUGAAUUUCAUUGCAAAGUUUACACAGGCUCUGCUGACAGGUUCAUGAAAACACUACUGAAUAUGUUACAUACCACCAAGGCUCACAGCACAUCCUGUGUUGGAAGUGAUACUUUUCCAUUACCAGUAAACCUCCUUUUGUCCUAGGAGCUCACUGAACAGCUAAAAUCAGGUGAUAUUUUUAUGUGGAACAUGCAACGUAUUAAGUCCUUUUGCUCAGUGACCCAAAAAGGAACUAAACGGUACCCAGACUAGAAAUCAAUGUCAAAUUAUUCAAAUAAAUUCCACUUAAAGAAUGGUGGUUUGGAAAGCGCUCAGUCAGAAAGAAUUCUCCCAAGAUUAGUUUACUGUGAAGUAGAAGGGAAGAACGUUUUAACUUUGGUUGGAAAUCUGAUGACAUUACAUAGAAGGUGAUGAAACAUCCUCUAAGAAACGGUUCUGAUCCAUUGUAUGGCACCCCCCUCUCACAUUCCCCCAUUUUACCCACUAAAGAAGUUCUUUUACAAGAGGCUAAGGAAACCAAGCAAUAUAAGAUCUAAUCAAAACUGAGUGCUGGAAAUGUGUGGGGAGAAAUCCAUAAUUAAACUGAGCAAUUAACUCCAGAAAGUUAACUGGGGCCAACUCUGACACUGCUAUAAAGUUAUAAAAUCUCCAGCAUCUCAUUUCUUUGUCCCUCUACCCAAUUUCCCCUCAAAGGUAAGCCUCUCUUUCUCUCUCCUCUCUUCUUCAUAUUUAAUAAAACUGUUUGCCAGAAAGGAAAGAA
Molecule: long non-coding RNA, 1761 nt
Filed under: Homo sapiens (human)
Lineage: Eukaryota; Metazoa; Chordata; Mammalia; Primates; Hominidae
Description: long intergenic non-protein coding RNA 2412
Source: RNAcentral